Long non-coding RNA from Medicago truncatula (barrel medic), 1741 nucleotides. RefSeq lists it as uncharacterized. Lineage: Eukaryota; Viridiplantae; Streptophyta; Magnoliopsida; Fabales; Fabaceae. The record is from RefSeq and is a predicted model, not a curated record. The transcript has 7 exons.
CCUACUGUUAUGAAAAAUUUCCUCACACUUUCAUUCAUAAGAUAUUUUUGAGAGAAUAGAGAGAGAAAGUGGGAGCAAGAGGAGAAAAGGAUAGAGAGAAGAGGACUUGAAGAAUCAAGAGUUGGGAGAAGAGAUAGGAGCAAAAUUGAAGCUUAAGCUAGAGAAAUUAACUUAACUAAGAUCCAAGAGUUAGUCGAAGCCAUCAUUUUUCCAAUACAAGGAGUGCUUCCAGAAGUUGGGUAUUCUUCCUCCAAAGGUAGUGCUCUUACAUGGACCACCACUUUAGUCGCAUUUAGAGUAGAUCAAAUUAUGCUAGUGUUGUAUCAUAAACCAAUAUGUGCAAAGUAGAUCAAAUAUAUGUCAAAUAGAAAAAGUUUACGCUUGCAAAGAAGGUUGGUUUCAAACACAGAUGAGGAUAACGACGAAAUUCACAUCCACGACAUUCCUGGAGGACCUGUUGCUUUUGAAAUAUGUGCAAAGUUCUGUUAUGGUAUGUGGCAACUGAGCUGGCAUCUGACAUAGUUGUUAAUGUUGGGGUUGUAAAAUUUUAUCUACAUAAGUUUCCACUUUUGUCCAAAAGUUUACGCUUGCAAAAGUUGGUUUCAACCACAUAUGAGGAGAACGACGAAAUUCACAUCCAUGACAUUCCUGGAUGACCUGUUACUUUUGAAAUAUGUGCGAAGUUCUGUUAUGGGAUUUGCUUGGGACUGGGCGAGCAUGCUUUGAGACGUUGAGUCCCUUGGCUUAUAGUCUUCUGGCAGAAAUUAUACAUCAUGUUCGGCAAGAUACAUCUUUAUCACAUGUUAUUUUGUAGGUAAUUGUCCAAUAACGAUUCAAGAAAAUGAAAAUUUUUGAAGCCCUGGAGCCCAGAACCUUGGCACGGCCCGUGCUAACACUGGCACGGCCGUGCCAGACUUUGCCACAACAAAACCAACACCAAACUCCAGGAACUUGGCACGGCCCGUGCCAACCUCAGCACGGCCGUGCCCGACCCCAGGUAAGGUUAAACCUCAUUUAUCAUCUUCUUCUUCCCUCAUUCACCAAACCAAACAUCUCUCAUCCUUCCAUCUUCUCUCUAAAACCUCCAUAACCACAAAACCUCAAACCUUCAUAUCUCCAUCAAAACUUCACCAAAUCACCAAUUUCUUCACCCAAUCAAUCACAAAAACUACUCCAACCACAACCCUUCAUUCAAAAACAACUUUCAUCCACCCAAUCCAAAACUCAUCCAAAUUCGUAGCCCACAUUAACCUAACCAAAAACCCACAAAUUCCUCACCAAUUUCCACAACCCAACCCCUAAAACUACUUAAACCUUUUCCCCAUCACUAAACCAACCUCUUCCACCAAAAACAUUCACUAAACCCAACCUUCACCAAAACCACAUCAAGUCCAACCAAGGUCAAGGCAAUGGCUUCUAAAAGAAGUGGAAAAGAAGUUGCAACAUCUUCAAGAGGACAUCCCCCAAAGAAGCAAGUACCGACAAAGAACCAUGGCAUAAUAUUCAAGGACAACAAGCAAAGGGAUAGGAACGAAUAUUUGAUGGAUUGAGUCUUGGAGCAAAAGAAAGGGGUUUUGGAGCUGAUUCGGUACGAAAAUACGAAGAUUCGGAGACAAAAAUAUAUCUCCCUCAACUCAGAAAUUUGGCACGGUCCGUGCUAGGCUUGGCACGGCCGUGCCACCCUCCAGAGCUACUUUUGCUGCUUUUGCUUAGAUUUUAAGCUACUUUAUUUUAGUUUACU